This 1525-nucleotide long non-coding RNA is filed under the name Sus scrofa (pig). RNAcentral's name for it is "lncRNA (ENSSSCG00025021771.1, ENSSSCG00035041423.1, ENSSSCG00045019449.1, ENSSSCG00065079209.1)". The record is from RNAcentral. Lineage: Eukaryota; Metazoa; Chordata; Mammalia; Artiodactyla; Suidae.
ACCAAGAGUGAUCAACUGACCCGGGCAGCCAGAAGAGAUGAUAGGGAUACAUAUUCUUAACGGUGAUAGAGUGGUUUCAUAGAACAAAAUAGGCUGUUCCUGCCCGAGGGAACAUGGACUUCAGUGGAAGAGACACUCAGAAGAGAGCUGCGAAACAAGUAAGAAUUUCAGAUUGUGCUCAGUUCUUUGAAGAAAAACACAUGGGAUAAGUGAGAGACGUGUGACUCUGGGGGCAGAGGCUGUGUGGUCAGGAGGGGGCCCGUCAGUCAAAAGGCCUUGGUUGCCAAGCCAUUGAAACUCCUUCUGCGUCAUGUUGGGCAGAUUACAAUGUAGAUGAUUCCGUAGCUGGGCUGCAGCACCGUCCCUGGAGAGCACAUGACAGGAAUGCAUGUUGGGCAGGAUGUGAAGCUGAGCCCUGGGCUGAAGCAAACUUGACCCCACCUGCGGACAGGACACUUCUGAAGCCGCUGCCUCGGCUUCCACCAGAAGCUGCAUCUCUGUGCUGCUAGAGAUGGAGAGCCCUGUCUUAGCUGGUUCAGUCGGGGCUGAGUGUUCAGCAGCUAAAGCUGCAUGUACUGUGACCUUCUGAGCCAAAGGCAGGGAAAGAUGCUCUCUAAUCCAUCUGGAAGUGAUUUUGGUAUGUGGUAUGUAAAGUAUUUUAAAAAAACAUAUAGUUUGAGUAAAACUGUUGGUGGUAGGCUAAAAGCUCCUUAAAAACAGGAAGCAUGACUGAAUCACUCUGGUUUCCUCCACUUUCCCAGACAGAAGAGUCACCAACGCAGCCUCCUUGCUCAGGCUGCGCUGCCCCAACUACAGUCAGGGACCCCCCCGCCUUCCCUCUGCUGGGAGGCACCAGCCACCUGUGACUAGUGUCCUGACACCUCCCAUGUCCCCAGCAGACACCUGCCACAGUUGCGUUCGGGGAGAACCCGAGCAAUUAGCCAGCAGCGCCCCCUGGCGCCUCUUUCACCGCAAGUGUUCGGCUCUCAACUUGUUCAACCACCCUCCACCCGCUCCACGGGCAACUUUUCCGGGAAGGCGCCUCCAAAGACCUCUGUGAGUAGCGUAGGCUGCUCUGCUCUGACAACCUCUUCGGGGUAAAUUUCUUUUCCAUUUGAACAGCUUCUCCUUAGUUAAGGAGAAACCGUUAUUGCCCGGUUGCUUUUUCGUCUUUUGGAUGGAGAGAAGCAGAGGAAUUCUGGGCGGAGGCCAACGAUUAGCUGCAACAUCUACUGAUCACUUCCAUGAAGUCUUUGAGCCUUUGUAUAAAUAAAACACCAGCCGGGGGCUCCUUCUGCUCCCAUUGAUGCCCGAGUGCCAACUACAGGUUUGACUCUGAGACCCUCCUUAAAAAAUUAGGAAAAAAAAUUUUUAAAACGUUUUUAAAUUGGAUUUUUAUUGCCUAAGGAGGGAUCUGUAAAAUACGUAGAGUGGGAAGAAUGCAGAUAAAUAAGACCUGAAAGUUGUCCUCAAAUAUAUCAAAGCCAUACUGGAUAGUGGACCUGCUGGAGAAUAGAAAAAUAAA